AAACUCGAGAGGGCACAGCAUCCAGCACCUGUGCUGGGAUCCCUGGGGCAGAGAGGAGAAACCAGAGAGAGUCUACGUGGUCUCCUCAGGUGGCAGGGCAGACACUGGCAGGCGGAUCAGGAACUCUCAUUCAUUGCUGUUGGGAAUGCAAAAUGGAGCAGCCACUUUGGAAGACAGUUUGGCAGUUUCUGACACAAGCUAAACAUACUCUUGCUAUACGAUCCAGCAAUCAUGCUCCCAGCCCCACAGGACCUCCAGCCUUUGUCUUCUUAAGGAGGGGAAGAGCAUCUUCAGCCAGCAGACAGGAAGGUGGGAUGCACUCGCCAUGUAUCUCCUGAGCCCCUGCUGGACACCGGACAGGCUGGUGGACUGCCCGCGACCUCUUUCAUCAGCACCCCCAAGAAUGGAAAGUGGAAGAAUGUCCUCAAGCUAGCAAGGACCUGGGCAAAGGGAAUCCAGAAUUACCUGUUCUGGCUUCUCCAGACCAAGAUUAAGGUCCUGCCUGCAUCUAUCUGCCCAUCACCCUCCUGCAGCUUCCAGCCU
This 543-nucleotide long non-coding RNA is filed under the name Equus asinus (donkey). RNAcentral describes it as "lncRNA (ENSEASG00005024106.1)". The record is from RNAcentral. Lineage: Eukaryota; Metazoa; Chordata; Mammalia; Perissodactyla; Equidae.